CAUGAUUAUAUUAUUUAAUGGCCGCGGUAUUUUGACCGUGCGAAGGUAGCAUGAUUAUUAGCCCAUUAAUUAUGGGAUUGUAUGAAUGGUUUGACGAGAUAUUGACUGUCUCAUGUUAAUUUAUUUAUAAUUUAAUUUUUUAGUUAAAAAGCUUAAAUAUUUUUAUAGGACGAGAAGACCCUAUAGAUCUUUAUUAUUAUUUUUUAUAUUUUUUUUUUGUUUGUUUUUAAAUAUUUUUAUAUAUUAUUUUGUUGGGGUGAUUUUGAGAUAUAAUUAACUCUCUUUUUUUUUUUCAUUUAUUUUUGUUUUUUUGAUCCUUUAUUAUUGCUUAUAAAAAUAAAA
RNAcentral lists this ribosomal RNA (342 nucleotides) under Cryptophyllium rarum. RNAcentral describes it as "partial large subunit ribosomal RNA". The record is from RNAcentral. Lineage: Eukaryota; Metazoa; Arthropoda; Insecta; Phasmatodea; Phylliidae.